This is a long non-coding RNA of Carassius carassius (crucian carp), 168 nucleotides long. RefSeq lists it as uncharacterized. The record is from RefSeq and is a predicted model, not a curated record. NCBI's taxonomy places the organism in Eukaryota, Metazoa, Chordata, Actinopteri, Cypriniformes, Cyprinidae. The transcript has 4 exons.
AGUGUCCCGUGACUCCAUUCAACGAGACUCAGGUGUGCAGCGGCGUGGACAGUUCUGCAGCACAGCAGUGUCCGCACAAUGGACUGUUGUGUGGCUCGAGUAUCGCCGAGCUGGCAUGUGCCCCGGUGCUGAAUGUGAGUCUGGAGGAUUUGGUCUCCCUGCUGGACU